AACUUGGCAGAGAUGCCUUGGUGCCUUCGGGAACGCUGAGACAGGUGCUGCAUGGCUGUCGUCAGCUCGUGUUGUGUAAAUGUUGGGUUAAGUCCCGCAACGAGCGCAACCCUUAUCCUUUGUUGCCAGCGAUUCGGUCGGGAACUCAAAGGAGACUGCCGGUGAUAAACCGGAGGAAGGUGGGGAUGACGUCAAGUCAUCAUGGCCCUUACGAGUAGGGCUACACACGUGCUACAAUGGCGCAUACAAAGAGAAGCGACCUCGCGAGAGCAAGCGGACCUCAUAAAGUGCGUCGUAGUCCGGAUCGGAGUCUGCAACUCGACUCCGUGAAGUCGGAAUCGCUAGUAAUCGUGGAUCAGAAUGCCACGGUGAAUACGUUCCCGGGCCUUGUACACACCGCCCGUCACACCAUGGGAGUGGGUUGCAAAAGAAGUAGGUAGCUUAACCCUCGGGAGGGCGCUUACCACUUUGUGAUUCACGACUGGGGUGAAGUCGUAACAAGGUAAGCGUAGUGCU
RNAcentral lists this ribosomal RNA (516 nucleotides) under uncultured bacterium. RNAcentral's name for it is "bacterial SSU rRNA". It matches the Rfam family "Bacterial small subunit ribosomal RNA", at positions 994 to 1509 of the family's 1533-position model. The record is from RNAcentral.